GGGUAUAUAGCUCAAGUGGUAGAGUGCAUGCUUAGCAUGCACGAGGUCAUGGGUUCAAUUCCCAGUGCCUCCU
Molecule: transfer RNA, 73 nt
Filed under: Camelus bactrianus (Bactrian camel)
Lineage: Eukaryota; Metazoa; Chordata; Mammalia; Artiodactyla; Camelidae
Also listed under: 1 other name
Rfam family: tRNA
About the family: Transfer RNA (tRNA) molecules are approximately 80 nucleotides in length. Their secondary structure includes four short double-helical elements and three loops (D, anti-codon, and T loops). Further hydrogen bonds mediate the characteristic L-shaped molecular structure. tRNAs have two regions of fundamental functional importance: the anti-codon, which is responsible for specific mRNA codon recognition, and the 3' end, to which the tRNAs corresponding amino acid is attached (by aminoacyl-tRNA synthetases). tRNAs cope with the degeneracy of the genetic code in two manners: having more than one tRNA (with a specific anti-codon) for a particular amino acid; and 'wobble' base-pairing, i.e. permitting non-standard base-pairing at the 3rd anti-codon position.
Source: Rfam by way of RNAcentral